This 253-nucleotide ribosomal RNA is filed under the name uncultured bacterium. Its description in RNAcentral is "partial 16S ribosomal RNA". It matches the Rfam family "Bacterial small subunit ribosomal RNA", at positions 524 to 776 of the family's 1533-position model. The record is from RNAcentral.
UACAGAGGGUGCAAGCGUUGUUCGGAAUUACUGGGCGUAAAGCGCGUGUAGGCGGUUUCUCAAGUCAGUCGUGAAAUCCCUAGGCUUAACCUAGGAACUGCGAUCGAGACUACAAGACUAGAGUAUCGGAGGGGGUGGCGGAAUUCCCGGUGUAGAGGUGAAAUGCGUAGAGAUCGGGAGGAACACCUGUGGCGAAGGCGGCCACCUGGAAGAUUACUGACGCUGAGGCGCGAAAGCGUGGGGAGCAAACAGG